UGGCGAACGGGUGAGUAACACGUGGGUGAUCUGCCCUGCACUUCGGGAUAAGCUUGGGAAACUGGGUCUAAUACCGGAUAGGAGCCAUCUUUAGUGUGGUGGUUGGAAAGUUUUCUCGGUGUAGGAUGAGCUCGCGGCCUAUCAGCUUGUUGGUGGGGUAAUGGCCUACCAAGGCGGCGACGGGUAGCCGGCCUGAGAGGGUGUACGGCCACAUUGGGACUGAGAUACGGCCCAG
RNAcentral lists this ribosomal RNA (235 nucleotides) under uncultured Actinomycetales bacterium. RNAcentral's name for it is "partial 16S ribosomal RNA". It matches the Rfam family "Bacterial small subunit ribosomal RNA", at positions 96 to 334 of the family's 1533-position model. The record is from RNAcentral. Lineage: Bacteria; Bacillati; Actinomycetota; Actinomycetes; Actinomycetales.